Molecule: ribosomal RNA, 200 nt
Filed under: uncultured eukaryote
Lineage: Eukaryota
Description: partial 18S ribosomal RNA
Source: RNAcentral
AGUAUUUCUUUUGUGGUUCGGCUGGUACGGAUUCAAUGCAGGCUCUACAUUGUCUGGUACGGACUUAGGUAUAGCCUACGUUGCAACCACAACAACGCUGGCGGCGAGUGCCGGAGCGAUUACCGCAAUGGUUACUUCGUGGAUUGGUUCGGCAAACCGGACCCCAGCAUGUCCCUAAACGGUGUAUUGGCCGGACUGGU